AGGACGAACGCUGGCGGCGUGCUUAACACAUGCAAGUCGAGCGGAAAGGCCCUUCGGGGUACUCGAGCGGCGAACGGGUGAGUAACACGUGAGCAACCUGCCCCUGGCUCUGGGAUAGCCUCCGGAAACGGGGAUUAAUACCGGACAUGACCCUUGACCGCAUGGUUGGGGGUGGAAAGUUUUUCGGCCAGGGUGGGGCUCGCGGCCUAUCAGCUUGUUGGGGUGGUGACGGCCCACCAAGGCGACGACGGGUAG
This 255-nucleotide ribosomal RNA is filed under the name uncultured bacterium. RNAcentral's name for it is "partial small subunit ribosomal RNA". It matches the Rfam family "Bacterial small subunit ribosomal RNA", at positions 26 to 286 of the family's 1533-position model. The record is from RNAcentral.